CCUACGUGAGGCAGCAGUGGGGAAUAUUGCACAAUGGGGGAAACCCUGAUGCAGCGACGCCGCGUGAGUGAAGAAGUAUUUCGGUAUGUAAAGCUCUAUCAGCAGGGAAGAAAAAAGACGGUACCUCGUAAGAAAGCCCCGGCAAACUACGUGCCAGCAGCCGCGGUAAUACGUAGGGGGCGAGCGUUGUCCGGAAUGACUGGGCGUAAAGGGAGUGUAGGCGGCAUAUUAAGUUAUGUGUGAAAGCCCGCGGCUCAACCGCGGAAUUGCACAUAAAACUGGUAAGCUGGAGUGCAGGAGAGGUAAGUGGAAGUCCCGGGGUAGCGGUGGAAUGCGUAGAUAUCGGGAGGAACACGAGAGGCGAAGGCGACUUACUGGACUGUAACUGACGCUGAGGCUCGAAAGCGUGGGGAGCAAACAGGAUUAGAUACCCCUGUAGUC
RNAcentral lists this ribosomal RNA (441 nucleotides) under uncultured bacterium. Its description in RNAcentral is "partial 16S ribosomal RNA". It matches the Rfam family "Bacterial small subunit ribosomal RNA", at positions 338 to 795 of the family's 1533-position model. The record is from RNAcentral.